GAUGAACGCUGGCGGCGUGCUUAACACAUGCAAGUCGAACGAAGCACUUUAUUUGAUUUCCUUCGGGACUGAUUAUUUUGUGACUGAGUGGCGGACGGGUGAGUAACGCGAGGGUAACCUGCCUUGUACAGGGGGAUAACAGUUGGAAACGGCUGCUAAUACCGCAUAAGCGCACGGCAUCGCAUGAUGCAGUGUGAAAAACUCCGGUGGUAUAAGAUGGACCCGCGUUGGAUUAGCGAGUUGGUGAGGUAACGGCCUACCAAGGCGACGAUCCAUAGCCGACCUGAGAGGGUGACCGGCCACAUUGGGACUGAGACACGGCCCAAACUCCUACGGGAGGCAGCAGUGGGGAAUAUUGCACAAUGGGCGAAAGCCUGAUGCAGCGACGCGGCGUAAGCGAAGAAGUAUUUCGGUAUGUAAAGCUCUAUCAGCAGGGAAGAUAAUGACGGUACCUGACUAAGAAGCACCGGCUAAAUACGUG
RNAcentral lists this ribosomal RNA (481 nucleotides) under uncultured bacterium. RNAcentral describes it as "partial 16S ribosomal RNA". It matches the Rfam family "Bacterial small subunit ribosomal RNA", at positions 28 to 507 of the family's 1533-position model. The record is from RNAcentral.